Long non-coding RNA from Poeciliopsis prolifica (blackstripe livebearer), 854 nucleotides. RefSeq lists it as uncharacterized. NCBI's taxonomy places the organism in Eukaryota, Metazoa, Chordata, Actinopteri, Cyprinodontiformes, Poeciliidae. The transcript has 3 exons. The record is from RefSeq and is a predicted model, not a curated record.
AGGAGGUUUUGAAUUUUUUGUUUUUUCAGGAAAAACGGGCUGGAUGGAAAAUGAAACUUGCCCAAUAUUUAUAUUUACUCAGAUUUUCUAGAUCUGUUUAGAACUCCGUCCAAACUUCGCUUUGUUCUUCAUUGCCUGCUGCUGUUAACGACGGUUAUCUCGUUAAAUAACAGCCUCUGCUACAGGAUGCCGACCUGGAAAGAUCAGAGUUCAGGCCCGAACGUCAGACUGAACCUGGAAGAGCGGACGGCAAGCAGCUUGCAGGCCUGGGUUAAGUCAACAUUGGUUUUGACUGAAGCUACGCUCCGCCUCUAUAGCGUGUGUUGUUUGGGAUUUUUUUCAGAUUCACUCCGGACCAAUUUGUUCCAGCUGCUAAAAUGAGGCGACGCUGCCUGUCGGUGUGAGUUAUGGCAGAAGAGGAACAGAGAUCUGACCCACGGUGCUGUGAGAAAACGGCGUCUUCUCAUAUAAGGGUCAGCUGAGUGCAAGCUGCAGCAGUCCAGCAGGAAACCUGAGUUGUUUGUUUAAAGCGACUUGCCAUGCGGUUUGCAUUUUAUUCCGGAUUGUGGGUGCAGCUAAUGAAGACAGUGACAGUUCGUCCUACGCACGCGAGUGACUCAUCCACAUGCUGAUUAAGGGAUCUUCUCACGGAGGAGCCAUCAGGAUCACUCCCUCCCACUCCAUGGACUGCAGCUCGGUGUUUAUCCAGCUGCCCGUUCGGGGUCUCGAAGACCCCCGCUCCUGUCCCGUCCAUCUGAUGGAAGCGCACAAAGAGAGAAGGAGAAAGACUCUUCUGACUCCGAGGGGCCAGCAGAUGGACAGAGAUACCCCACACCAAGUCUGAACUCCUUCAC